AGAGUUUGAUCAUGGCUCAGAAUCAACGCUGGCGGCGUGCCUCAGACAUGCAAGUCGAACGCGAAAGUCCCCUUCGGGGGACAAGUAGAGUGGCGUCCGGGUGAGUAACACGUAGGUAAUCUACCUUCGGGUGGGGAAUAACCCAGGGAAACUUGGGCUAAUACCGCAUAAUGCAGCGGCACCACAUGGUGACAGUUGUUAAAGCGGGGGAUCUUCGGAUCUCGCGCCUGAAGAGGAGCCUGCGGCAGAUUAGCUAGUUGGUAAGGUAACGGCUUACCAAGGCGACGAUCUGUAGCCGGCCUGAGAGGGCGGUCGGCCACACUGACACUGACAUACGGGUCAGACUCCUACGGGAGGCAGCAGUCGGGAAUUUUGGGCAAUGGGCGAAAGCCUGACCCAGCAACGCCGCGUGAAGGAUGAAAUCCCUCGGGAUGUAAACUUCGCAAGAAUAGGAAGAAUUAGUAGGGGUUAAUACCCUCUAUGAUGACGGUACUAUUUGUAAGCUCCGGCUAACUCCGUGCCAGCAGCCGCGGUAAUACGGGGGGAGCAAGCGUUGUUCGGAUUUACUGGGCGUAAAGGGCGCGUAGGCGGUCAGCACAAGUCAGUUGUGAAAUCUCCGGGCUUAACUCGGAAAGGUCAACUGAUACUGUGCGACUAGAGUGCAGAAGGGGCAACUGGAAUUCUCGGUGUAGCGGUGAAAUGCGUAGAUAUCGAGAGGAACACCUGCGGCGAAGGCGGGUUGCUGGGCUGACACUGACGCUGAUGCGCGAAAGCCAGGGGAGCGAACGGGAUUAGAUACCCUAGUAGUCC
This 810-nucleotide ribosomal RNA is filed under the name uncultured bacterium. Its description in RNAcentral is "bacterial SSU rRNA". It matches the Rfam family "Bacterial small subunit ribosomal RNA", at positions 8 to 796 of the family's 1533-position model. The record is from RNAcentral.